This 376-nucleotide unclassified non-coding RNA is filed under the name Zea mays. RNAcentral's name for it is "misc RNA Zm00001eb086890". The record is from RNAcentral. Lineage: Eukaryota; Viridiplantae; Streptophyta; Magnoliopsida; Poales; Poaceae.
CGCCAAUCCACCGCCACGCCGCCACCCAUGUCGUCUUUCUCCACGUGUUGCCGCCCCACCUCGGUGUCUUGCUUUCCGCGACGCCGCAACAAACUCCGCCUUCAACCAUCGUUCUUCUUCCCCGCGACUCUGCACCUAGUGCCGCCUCCAUUCUCGCCCUCAUCGUGCGCGCCGCCGCCGCUACUGUUCUCCCUGCUCGGAUCUGCCCACGAGUUUCUGCUCCUCUCUCGUGCUCCUCCUCUCCAUCUCCUGCAGGUGCAGACACUCUGACACGCGCUCUGCCUGGUCGCGCCGCCGCUGGCUCCACGGCCCCUACGUGUCCACACACGACAUGUGCCAUGUGGUCUUCCCUCCCCAUGCCACCACUACUGUCGAG